CGAUGGGCCGACGUCGCAUGCUCCCGGCCGCCAUGGCGGCCGCGGGAAUCGAUUAGAGUUUGAUCAUGGCUCAGAUUGAACGCUGGCGGAAUGCUUUACACAUGCAAGUCGAACGGGCUUAAGGGGCUUGCUCCUUAAGUUAGUGGCGAACGGGUGAGUAAUAUAUCGGAACGUAUCCAAUAAUGGGGGAUAACUAAUCGAAAGGUUGGCUAAUACCGCAUACGCCCUACGGGGGAAAGCAGGGGAUCUUCGGACCUUGCGUUAAUGGAGCGGCCGAUAUCUGAUUAGCUAGUUGGUGGGGUAAAGGCCCACCAAGGCGACGAUCAGUAGCUGGUCUGAGAGGACGACCAGCCACACUGGAACUGAGACACGGUCCAGACUCCUACGGGAGGCAGCAGUGGGGAAUUUUGGACAAUGGGCGAAAGCCUGAUCCAGCCAUUCCGCGUGAGUGAAGAAGGCCUUCGGGUUGUAAAGCUCUUUCGCAAGGAAAGAAAACUUACUUACUAAUACUAGGUGAGGAUGACGGUACCUUGAUAAGAAGCACCGGCUAACUACGUGCCAGCAGCCGCGGUAAUACGUAGGGUGCGAGCGUUAAUCGGAAUUACUGGGCGUAAAGCGUGCGCAGGCUGUUUUGUAAGUCAGAUGUGAAAUCCCUGGGCUCAACCUAGGAACUGCGUUUGAAACUACAAGGCUAGAGUGUAGCAGAGGGGGGGUAGAAUUCCACGUGUAGCAGUGAAAUGCGUAGAGAUGUGGAGGAAUACCAAU
This 765-nucleotide ribosomal RNA is filed under the name uncultured Methylotenera sp. Its description in RNAcentral is "bacterial SSU rRNA". It matches the Rfam family "Bacterial small subunit ribosomal RNA", at positions 1 to 713 of the family's 1533-position model. Lineage: Bacteria; Pseudomonadati; Pseudomonadota; Betaproteobacteria; Nitrosomonadales; Methylophilaceae. The record is from RNAcentral.